GUCCGUGCGCUACUGGCAGCCGAGGGCCCGCUCUGUGCCUGUAUCCCGGAUCCGGCUUGCAGGUAAGAAGUAACACGGCAUGUACUGCCAUCCUACCGGGGCUAGCAGGCCGUGUCCAGCCCGGUGUGAUAACACUCGGCUGGUCUCCCCGCGGCCCUCGACCUGGCAUGUCGCGUUAAGACCAGGCCCAUUGUCCAGAGAGCCGAGCCCAGCCGGGUGUGUGUCUGUCCCGGGCAGCGGUGCGGCCUACCUUGAUCGGCUCAGUACAGUUACCGUAACCUCGUGUGCAAGCCCUAGCUCUCAAAUCGAAUGGUAAAACCUCCCCCACAGUGGGAGACCCCGGGCGCCCUCUGCCACCCCCACAGUGGGAGACCCCGGGCGCCCCUCUGCCACCCCCACAGUGGGAGACCCCGGGUGGCCCUCUGCCACCCCCACAGUGGGAGACCCCGGGUGGCCCUCUGCCACCCCCACAGUGGGAGACCCCGGGUGGCCCUCUGCCACCCCCACAGUGGGAGACCCCGGGUGGCCCUCUGCCACCCCCACAGUGGGAGACCCCGGGUGGCCCUCUGCCACCCCCACAGUGGGAGACCCCGGGCGCCCCUCUGCCACCCCCACAGUGGGAGACCCCGGGCGCCCUCUGCCACCCCCACAGAGGGAGACCCCGGGUGGCCCUCUGCCACCCCCACAGAGGGAGACCCCGGGUGGCCCUCUGCCACCCCCACAGUGGGAGACCCCGGGUGGCCCUGCGCCACCCCCACAGUGGGAGACCCCGGGUGGCCCUGCGCCACCCCCACAGUGGGAGACCCCGGGUGGCCCUGCGCCACCCCCCACAGUGGGAGACCCCGGGUGGCCCUGCGCCACCCCCCACAGUGGGAGACCCCGGGUGGCCCUGCGCCACCCCCCACAGUGGGACACCCCGGGCGCCCUGCGCCACCCCCCACAGUGGGAGACAACGGGCGCCCUCUGGCGCCUCCCCCCACAGUACGAGACCUCUGGCGCCUCCCCCCCGAAGUACGAGAUCCUGGGGACCCAAUGCAUGCAGAGGGAGUCAUUGUGGGUGGCAGAUACUGACAUCGGGGACAUGUUUUAAUCCUGGUUGUGUAAUAACUUCACUCAUGCAACCCCUUCCCCUGAAAAAAAGGAUGUUAAUUUUUCAAAUUUAAGCCAAAAUACUAUCGAUUUAUUUGAAGGUUACGAAAAGAAUCUUAUAUUCUUUUUGCCAGAGUUCCUUUAAUAAACAGAAGUAUUCUUGAAUUAGGAACACUCAGCUUCUUAACAACUACAGCAAAAUACUGAGCAGUCUCCUCUUUUAAGGUGUUCAAUGGCAAGGUAGGGAGUGGUAUUUUUUUGGGGGGAGGGAGGGUGAGGGUAGAGACAUUAGGCAUGUAGUAGUAUUUUGAUUUUCCUUCUGUCCAUUUCUGAUAAAGAUUCAUGACAAAUUGUUUUUUUUAGGAAAUAAAGUGGAAGAUGUCUUACAGAACUGGCCGUUAUGAAGAGCGUUUGUUGCACAAGUGUGAGGUAAGUAUUUAUAGAUGUGAGUUCCAAAUUAAAGUGGUUUUGUCAACUCAAAUUUGCCUUUCUCCUAUUGCUUUAUCUUCUCUUGCUCUGUGGAAUACAGGUAGUUCCUGAUUUUAUGAACUAAUUGGUUCAGAAGCCUAGUUCAUAAAGUGAACUAAUUUCCCAUAGACUGCAAUGUAAUUAACAAAGGUUCCAUUCCUGACCAAGGAAUUUUACCAUUGAAAAGUUAAAUUAUUAAGUACAAAUCCAAAAUGAAAGCAUUGCAAAUACAUAUAUGUUGUAGGAACAUUAAAGGGAUACAUACCAUAUUGAAAUCUUCAUCAAAUCAUCAUCAGUUAUCUUCCCUUCUCAAUGACAUGUUGAACGGUGAAAGUGAAAGGAUCCAGUGAUCAUCAGUCAGUGUUGUUCAAUAUAAGAACAGUGACUGAGUAACACCACACAAAAACAAAAGUUUUAGACUUUAAAAAAACAGACUUUUCUAAAAUUAGAAAAUGUGUGAAAGAGUCAGACUGGAGCAGUUUAAAUGGAGUCAAAGAGAAAUGGGAUUAUUUAAAAGUGGCUCUGCUGAAGGCAACAGAAAAUCUCCUUAGGCUUGUCAGUAAAAGCAAAAAAUUUUAAAGGAUCACUAUAGUGUCAAGAAAACAAACCCGUUUUCCUGACACUAUGUCAUCCUUGGGGGACCCUCACCCUCAGGGUCCCCCUCCCGCUGGGCUGAAGGGGUUAAAACCCCUUCAGCCACUUACCUUAUUCCAGCGCCAGGCUCCCUCGGCGCUGGUGACCUCUCCUCCCCCGCUGACGUCGGCUCCCUCUGCCGUCAGCGCAUCCGAAUGCGCAUGCGCGACAAGUGCCACGCACGCAUUCAUGCAGUCAAUAGGAAAGCGUUUCUCAAUGCUUUCCUAUGGACGCUCUCCGCGAUGGAGGCAUAAUAUGUCUCCAGCAUCGCAGAUGCGCCUCUAGUGGCUGUCCGUAAGACAGCCACUACAGGCUGGCUUAACCCUGCAAUGUAAACAUAGCAGUUUCUCUGAAACUGCUAUGUUUGCAUCUGCAGGGUUAAAACCUGAGGGACAUUGCACCCAGACCACUUCAUUGAGCUGAAGUGGUCUGGUUGACUAUAGUGUCCCUUUAAGAAACCACUGUGGUACUCUGCAGAUGUGGCCAAAAUAGUAAAAAACUAAAAGCUAGCAUUUAGUAAUUAUAAAAAAAACCCAGAGUGAGGAAGACAGAAUGAUCUAUAAGAUUAGGCAGAAAGAGGCUAAGCAAGUUAUAAGAGCUUCCAAAUCACACACAGAAGAGAAAACAGCACAGUCAGUAAAAAAGGGGGAUAAAACAUUUUUUAGAUGCAUAAAUGAGAAAAGGAAAGUAAAACAAGGAUUAGUUAGAUUAAAAACAAAAGAAGGAAGGUAUGUAGAAGAGGAUAAAGGUCUAGCUGACUGCCUCAAUUAAUAUUUUUGUUCAGUAUUUAAUUAAAGAUGAAAAUGAAGGAGAGGGACCUCAGUUAGGAAAAAGGACAAAUUAGUUAUUUGUUACAUGUGAGUUUACAGAGGAAGAGGUUCUAUUUCAACUAUCAAAAGUUAAGACAGGUCAGUGGGACCUGAUGGAACACACCCAAAGUUAUUAAAAGAGCUUAGUGGUGUACUAGUAAAACCAUUAACAGCUUUAUUUAACCAAUCAUUUUUAACAGGAGUAGUUCCAGAAGAUUGGAAGUUGGCAAAUGUUGUGCCCAUUCACAAGAAAGGUAGUAGGGAGGAGUCGGGCAUCUAAAGGCCAGUAAGCCUUACUUCAGUAGUUGGGAAAGUAAUGGUAACCAUGGAUAGGAUUGUUGAACAUCUAAAAUCACAUGGAUUUCAAGAUCAGCGACAACAUGGGUUUACUUCAGAGAGAUCAUGACAAACUAAUCUUGAUUUAUUUAUUUUUUUUGAUUGGAUAACUAAAAUAAUAGAUCAGGGUGGUGCAGUAGACAUUGCUUACCUAGAUUUCAGUAAGGCGUUUGACACUGUUGCACAUAGCAUGCUUAUCAAUAAACUGUAAUCUUUAAGUUUGGAUUCCAAUAUUGUUGAAUGGGUAAGGCAGUGGCUGAGUGACAGGCAACAGAGGAUUGUAGUCAAUGGAGUAUAUUCGAAGCAUGGGCUUGUCACCAGUGGGGUACCUCAGGGAUCUGUACUUGAACCCAUUCUCUUUAAAAAAAUUAUUAGUGAUAUUGCAGAAGGUCUUGAUGGUAAGGUAUGUCUUUUUGCUGAUGACAAUAAGAUAUGUAACAGGGUUGAUGUUCCAGGAGAAAAAUGGACAGAGUUGUGGUAGCUGACAUUUAAAGUGGAUAAGUGCAAGAUAAUGCAUCUUGGAUGUAAAAUCCCAAGGGCAGAGUAAAAAAUAUUUGAUAGAGUCCUAACCUCAACAUCUGAGGAAAGGGAUUUAGGAGUAAUUAUUUCAGAGGACUUAAAGAUAGGAAGACAAUGUAAUAGAGCAGCAGGAAAUGCUAGCAGAAUGCUUGGUUGUAUAGGGAGAGGUAUUAGCAGUAGAAAGAGGGAAGUGCUCAUGCCCUUGUACAGAACACUGGUGAGACCUAUUGUACGCAGUACUGGAGACCGUAUCUCCAGAAAGAUAUUGAUACUUUAGAGAGUUCAGAGCAGGGCUACUAAAUUGGUUCAUUGAUUGUAGGAUAAAAUUUAAGGAAAGGUUAAAGGAACCUGUAUAGCUUGGAGGAAAGACGAGACAGGGGUCCUCCAUCAUGGGUCCACAGAUAGCCGACACAAAAUUGCAUCACAUCCGGGAAGCGUACGUAAAGCGUGAGUUGUAAACCGGGAAAUGCCUGUAUGUUUGUGCUAUGAAAAUGCUGAUAAUAGUGAUUACGGGCUUGUGUACAGGUGCUUGGCAAUGACAGCCAUUUUCAGGCUGCCAAAGACAAAACCAUUUUUAUGUGGAUGUUGCUUCUAGAAACUGCUUAGAAUAAAUAGUGAAUGUUGCAACAGAGGAAAAGUAUUUUUUAGGAGUUGGUCUUCUGCCCUAUUCCGUGAGCUUGUGUAGCUUACCAUUUUGCAGUUGCAUCAUUGUCUCUAUGUCCCCACUUAAAGUGGCUCUGUUACUAUGUCGUGUCUUUGCAUAAUCUGGAAAGUCCCCUGAAGGAAAUCGCUGUUUGGGGUCCUGGGCCUGGGAAGGGGAGCAGGGUAAAGUGAGUAUACAUACCGGAACCUGUUCCUUGUGAAUGCUGCCACCCUCUUCCUGUAGCUUUUCUUUUGCUCCUGGUGCUUCAGCAUGGAGGUCUAUGGAGGACCCUGUGAGAAUAUAGAAGGAGCUUAAUUUUCAUACAGUCCUCACUGAUGACGGGUGGGGGAAAUGACCAGGCUUAACGACAGUAGCUCUGCCUUGUGUCAAGCUUUGUCAGAAGUAGGAAAAAUACUUAUUUUGAUUGGGUAGGAAUUUCAGUGAAAUUCCAACACAGUCAAUCAGAAUAUUUUAAUAAAGAUUUUAUAUUUAUGAAACUCUCAUUUGAGGAAACUGUACACUUGCAAACUGGAUUGAAAUUGUAUUUGAAAUUGUUACUUCCUCUUGGAAAAUGCCCCCUGCUAAUAGUACACCUCAUCUCAACGUUAUGGUAAUUCCACUUCAUGCAAAGGUUUGCAUGUUCUGAUACCACACAGUCCUAAAAAAGCACCUUUGCAUGUACCCCAGUGGAUAUGUGGAAGACAAUUUUGCAGAAUCUCUUUACUGCUUUCAUGACAGCGCGUUAUAAAAAAAACUCAUGGAUUGUCUUCAGUAGAUCCCUGAAUCGAAACUGCAGGUGUGGAGCUGAGCCUGACCAACCCAAGACAAGAUAUCAAGCGUUACUAAACUGGCACCAUAACCACUACAUGUGUCUGUUGUUUAGCGUGUUACUUAAAGAAAUUAGCCACUGUAUGCAUAUUUCAGCUAAUGUCAUUUAAAGCAGCACUGUCACUUGUGGAGUAUGCAUUUUUAUAGAUUUUGAUUGUGUUCAUUUCAUGGGAGUUACAACACAGUCAAAAAGAGCUUUUUAUACAUUUUAUAUCUUAAUGAAAAACUUACGUGAAAGAGCCGCUUUGAAUCUGACAUAUGAACUGCGUUCAUAAAACGAAUGGAAAAAUUAUUUGAUGCAAAUCUAUAUUUUCCUAUGCUAUGCGCGGCAUGAGCUGUGCGCGCAUUCAGCCAGUCCAUAGGAAAGCAUUCUCAAUGCUUUCCUAUGGAUGCUGGCGUCUUCUCACUAUUAAAAUCACAGUGGGAAGCUUCUCUAGCGGCUGUCAAUGAGACGGCCACUAGAGGCUGGAUUAACCCUAAAGUAAACAUAGCACUUUCUCUAAAACUGCUAUGUUUACAGCAGGAAGAGUUAAUCCUAGAUCAGUGAUGGCGAACCUUUUUGAGCCGAGUGCCCAAACCGUAAUACAUGCCAAUUGUUUUUUCCUCAAAGUGCCAAAACGGCAAUUAAACCUGAAUACUGAGGUUUAAGUUUAGAAAAAAACAACUCAUACAGUUGUCCGAACUAAUUAACAUCUCAGUGUGUGUAUUAAGCAGUUUGUGUGUGUGCUCGGUAGUCUGUCUGUGUGUAUUUAGCAGUCUGUCUGUAUUUAGCAGACUGCUGAAUACACACACAGACUGCUGAGCACACAGACUGCUAAAUACACACACACACACACAGACUCCUGAGUACACACACACACACACACAACACACACACAGACUCCUGAGUGUACACACACACACAGACUCCUGUGUGUACACACACACACAGACUCCUGUGUGUACACACACACACAGACUCCUGUGUGUACACACACACACAGACUCCUGAGUGUACACACACACACAGACUCCUGAGUGUACACACACACACAGACUCCUGAGUGUACACACACACACAGACUCCUGAGUGUACACACACACACAGACUCCUGAGUGUACACACACACACAGACUCCUGAGUGUACACACACACACAGACUCCUGAGUGUACACACACACACAGACUCCUGAGUGUACACACACACACAGACUCCUGAGUGUACACACUCAGACUGCUGAGUGUACACACUCAGACUGCUGAGUGUACACACUCACACAGACUGCUGAGUGUACACACUCAGACUGCUGAGUGUACACACUCAGACUGCUGAGUGUACACACUCAGACUGCUGAGUGUACACACUCAGACUGCUGAGUGUACACACUCAGACUGCUGAGUGUACACACUCAGACUGCUGAGUGUACACACUCAGACAGACUGCUGAGUGUACACACUCAGACAGACUGCUGAGUGUACACACACACACACACACAGACACACAGACAGACUGCUGAGUGUACACACACACACAGACACACAGACAGACUGCUGAGUGUACACACACACACACACACACAGGCAGACUGCUGAGUGUACACACACACACACACAGGCAGACUGCUGAGUGUACACACACACACACAGGCAGACUGCUGAGUGUACACACACACACACAGGCAGACUGCUGAGUGUACACACACACAGGCAGACUGCUGAGUGUACACACACAGGCAGACUGCUGAGUGUACACACACAGGCAGACUGCUGAGUACACACACAGGCAGACUGCUGAGUGUACACACACAGGCAGACUGCUGAGUGUACACACACAGGCAGACUGCUGAGUGUACACACACAGGCAGACUGCUGAGUGUACACACACAGGCAGACUGCUGAGUGUACACACACAGGCAGACUGCUGAGUGUACACACACAGGCAGACUGCUGAGUGUACACACACUGCAUUGAGGGGUACAGUGUAUGUGUUUGUGUGUGUGUGUGGGGUGAUGUGAUGUGGGGUGGUGUGUGUGUGGGUGGGUUGAUGUGUGUGGGGUGAUAUGUGUAGGGCAGGGGUGCUGUGUGUAUGUCGUCCCCCUUCUCCCCCCACCCCCACACUGUUUUCUUUCCCCCCAUCCCUCCCUCAUUUUUUUCUCCCAUCCCACACUGUUUUCUCCCCCCAUCUCUCCCUCAGUUUCCCCCCAUCUCUCCCUCAGUUCCCCCCAUCUCUCCCUCAGUCCCCCCAUCUCNNNNNNNNNNNNNNNNNNNNNNNNNNNNNNNNNNNNNNNNNNNNNNNNNNNNNNNNNNNNNNNNNNNNNNNNNNNNNNNNNNNNNNNNNNNNNNNNNNNNAAGUGGUCCUUUAAAUGUUAUCUUUCCUUAAAUAUGUAAGAAUGUAAACCAUGUAGCCAGCAGAGGUAAAAUUGUUCAUAUUCUUAAACGAUCAUUAUAUUUUCCGAAAGUACAAAUGGAGUUGAUACUGUUUUUGCAAACCACAAAUAUUCCUAGUAUCAAAAUGAAAGUGCACUUGCCUAUUUCUUUCCUUUCACCCGACUUCUUCUAUCUGUUACUCACUUGUCUUUAUAUGGAUGUAUACCUACCAUAUAUAUGAUCUGUUAUUGUCUCUGUCUCACACUGCACCCCAGACUCCUACCUGCAGAUCUUCUCUAGGUUUCACCUUCCUCAUGGAAUGCCCUCCAAUGCCACAUUUAUUUUCCUAGUCUCUACAGUCCUUUAAAAACUUAUCUAUCUAUCUCCUUAAAGGGUUACUUCAAACAUCAUGACCAGUUCACUAAAUUGUAGUGGUCAUGGUGGUAGGAGUCUGUAUUGCAGUUUUUGAAACACUGCACAUAUAAAGAUAUUGGCACCUGUGUGCCCGGUGCUAGUUGCACCCCCAGCACAUAUGACAUAGACAGCCUGGAACUUCGGACUGCUUAAUGUUAAUUCUGUGCAUAUUUUACGUAAGCUGCUGGAGACUUAACCUCUUCAACAAUUUCAACUUUCUGUUCUUCCUCAAUAGAUCUGUAACGUCAAGUGCAGUUCUGCUUUAGAUCUAAAUUAUCAUUUCAAUGGAAAAAAGCACAAGGUAAGCACUGGAAAGUCAAAUGUGUAUUAUCUUAUUAAGUUUUCUAUUAUAGCGCUGUCUAGCAAUUUCAU
Molecule: long non-coding RNA, 8458 nt
Filed under: Pelobates cultripes (western spadefoot toad)
Lineage: Eukaryota; Metazoa; Chordata; Amphibia; Anura; Pelobatidae
Source: RNAcentral